UGGGGUGCAGCUCAGUGGUAGAGUGCUUGCCUAGCAUGCACCAAGACCCUGGGUUUGAUUCUCAAUACCUUAA
This 73-nucleotide transfer RNA is filed under the name Marmota monax (woodchuck). RNAcentral describes it as "tRNA.Ala". The record is from RNAcentral. Lineage: Eukaryota; Metazoa; Chordata; Mammalia; Rodentia; Sciuridae.